CCUAGGGUAGCUGCAGUGGGGAAUAUUGGGCAAUGGGCGCAAGCCUGACCCAGCAACGCCGCGUGAAGGAAGAAGGCUUUCGGGUUGUAAACUUCUUUUCUCAGGGACGAAGAAAGUGACGGUACCUGAGGAAUAAGCCACGGCUAACUACGUGCCUGCAGCCGCGGUAAUACGUAGGUGGCAAGCGUUAUCCGGAUUUAUUGGGUGAAAAGGGCGUGUAGGCGGGAGCGCAAGUCAGAUGUGAAAACUCAGGGCUCAACCCUGAGCCUGCAUUUGAAACUGUGUUUUUUGAGUGGUGGAGAGGCAAUCGGAAUUCCGGGUGUAGCGGUGAAAGGCGUAGAUAUACGGAGGAACACCAGUGGCGAAGGCGGAUUGCUGGACAGGAACUGACGCUGAGGCGCGAAAGCGUGGGGAGCAAACAGGAUUAGAUACCCUUGUAGU
Molecule: ribosomal RNA, 441 nt
Filed under: uncultured bacterium
Lineage: Bacteria
Description: partial 16S ribosomal RNA
Rfam family: Bacterial small subunit ribosomal RNA
Source: RNAcentral